UACGAAGGUCCCGAGCGUUGUUCGGAAUCACUGGGCGUAAAGGGAGCGUAGGCGGCGCGGUAAGUCAGAUGUGAAAUCCCGGGGCUCAACCCCGGAACUGCAUCCGAUACUGCCGUGCUAGAGGAUUGGAGAGGUAGCUGGAAUUCUUGGUGUAGCAGUGAAAUGCGUGGAGAUCAAAGAGGAACACUCGUGGCGAAAGCGAGCUACUGGACAAUAUCUGACGCUGAGGCUCGAAGGCCAGGGUAGCGAAAGGG
Molecule: ribosomal RNA, 254 nt
Filed under: uncultured bacterium
Lineage: Bacteria
Description: partial 16S ribosomal RNA
Rfam family: Bacterial small subunit ribosomal RNA
Source: RNAcentral